AUAGUACUCCCUCCUUCCCGAAUUAGUUGACUUGGAUUUGUCUACAUGCAGAUGUAUCUAGACAUGUUUUAGUGUUAGAUACGUUCAUAUUUGGACAAAUCUAAAUCAACUAAUUUGGGACGGAGGCAAUAGAAG
Non-coding RNA from Triticum urartu, 135 nucleotides. NCBI's taxonomy places the organism in Eukaryota, Viridiplantae, Streptophyta, Magnoliopsida, Poales, Poaceae. The record is from Rfam.